This 190-nucleotide unclassified non-coding RNA is filed under the name soil metagenome. RNAcentral describes it as "partial internal transcribed spacer 1". The record is from RNAcentral.
CAGAGUUGCAAACCGCUCCUCAAACCAUUGUGAACCUUACCUCUAACCGUUGCUUCGGCGGGUCGGGGUCCCUAAAAGGACGUCCUCCCCGGGCCCAUCUCCAGUCGGGGUGGGCCGCCCGCCGGAGGAUAACCAAACUCUUGAUACUGUAUGGCCGUCUUCUGAGUCUUUGUACAAUGCAAAUAAGUCA